GGGCCCUUAGCUCAGGUAGUAGAGCGUUCGGUUGGCAAUCGGAAGGCCCCGGGUGCAAGUCCCGGAGGGUCCA
This 73-nucleotide transfer RNA is filed under the name Candidatus Diapherotrites archaeon CG11_big_fil_rev_8_21_14_0_20_37_9. RNAcentral describes it as "tRNA-Ala". It matches the Rfam family "tRNA". Rfam says of the family: Transfer RNA (tRNA) molecules are approximately 80 nucleotides in length. Their secondary structure includes four short double-helical elements and three loops (D, anti-codon, and T loops). Further hydrogen bonds mediate the characteristic L-shaped molecular structure. tRNAs have two regions of fundamental functional importance: the anti-codon, which is responsible for specific mRNA codon recognition, and the 3' end, to which the tRNAs corresponding amino acid is attached (by aminoacyl-tRNA synthetases). tRNAs cope with the degeneracy of the genetic code in two manners: having more than one tRNA (with a specific anti-codon) for a particular amino acid; and 'wobble' base-pairing, i.e. permitting non-standard base-pairing at the 3rd anti-codon position. Lineage: Archaea; Nanobdellati; Candidatus Iainarchaeota. The record is from RNAcentral.